UAGGGAAUCUUCCGCAAUGGGCGAAAGCUUGACGGAGCAACGCCGCGUGAGUGAUGAAGGUCUUCGGAUCGUAAAACUCUGUUAUUAGGGAAGAACAAAUGUGUAAGUAACUAUGCACGUCUUGACGGUACCUAAUCAGAAAGCCACGGCUAACUACGUGCCAGCAGCCGCGGUAAUACGUAGGUGGCAAGCGUUAUCCGGAAUUAUUGGGCGUAAAGCGCGCGUAGGCGGUUUUUUAAGUCUGAUGUGAAAGCCCACGGCUCAACCGUGGAGGGUCAUUGGAAACUGGUUGACUUGAGUGCAGAAGAGGAGAGUGGAAUUCCAUGUGUAGCGGUGAAAUGCGUAGAUAUAUGGAGGAACACCAGUGGCGAAGGCGACUCUCUGGUCUGUAACUGACGCUGAGGCUCGAAAGCGUGGGUAGCAAACAGG
This 429-nucleotide ribosomal RNA is filed under the name Bacteroidota bacterium. RNAcentral describes it as "Bacteroidetes bacterium partial 16S ribosomal RNA". It matches the Rfam family "Bacterial small subunit ribosomal RNA", at positions 355 to 776 of the family's 1533-position model. Lineage: Bacteria; Pseudomonadati; Bacteroidota. The record is from RNAcentral.